GGAAGAUCCUCGUCCCCGGUGGGGCGGCCGGACUUCAAAUCCGGUUGGGGCCGCCAGCGGUCUGGGCAGGUUCGACUCCUGUGAUCUUCCGCCA
Molecule: transfer RNA, 94 nt
Filed under: Serratia marcescens
Lineage: Bacteria; Pseudomonadati; Pseudomonadota; Gammaproteobacteria; Enterobacterales; Yersiniaceae
Description: tRNA-Sec
Rfam family: Selenocysteine transfer RNA
Source: RNAcentral